GGAGAACCUGCGGCUGGAUCACCUCCUUUCUAUGGAGAAAUCUAGCAAACAUGACGUUUGACUAGUACAAAGAUGAAAAGCAUCUAUAAAAAUUACAACUUGCUCAAAGGUUACUUAAUGAGUAUUGAUUCUGUUCAAUUUUGAGGGAUUUUCCUUCAAGAAUAUAUGGGCUUAUAGCUCAGCUGGUUAGAGCGCACGCCUGAUAAGCGUGAGGUCGAUGGUUCGAGUCCAUUUAAGCCCACCAUAUUGUUCUUUGAAAAUUGCAUAUUAAUAAUUGUAUAAAAUACAACAAAGCCAAGAAUAAAUAUUCUUUGUGAAUGAUUAAUAUAACCAGUUUUGUAUAUCAAAACUUAAAAAGGUCAAGCUACAAAGGGCGCAUGGUGAAUGCCUUGGCAUCAGGAGCCGAUGAAGGACGUGAUAAGCUGCGAUAAGCUUCGGGUAGGCGCACAUAGCCAGAGAUCCGGAGAUUU
RNAcentral lists this unclassified non-coding RNA (470 nucleotides) under Clostridium butyricum. The stretch from base 358 to 470 matches the Rfam family "Bacterial large subunit ribosomal RNA", at positions 1 to 113 of the family's 2925-position model. Lineage: Bacteria; Bacillati; Bacillota; Clostridia; Eubacteriales; Clostridiaceae. The record is from RNAcentral.